This 449-nucleotide ribosomal RNA is filed under the name uncultured bacterium. RNAcentral's name for it is "partial 16S ribosomal RNA". It matches the Rfam family "Bacterial small subunit ribosomal RNA", at positions 29 to 523 of the family's 1533-position model. The record is from RNAcentral.
AACGAACGCUGGCGGCAUGCCUAACACAUGCAAGUCGAACGAGAUCUUCGGGUCUAGUGGCGCACGGGUGCGUAACGCGUGGGAAUCUGCCCUUUGGUUCGGAAUAACAGUUGGAAACGACUGCUAAUACCGGAUGAUGACGAAAGUCCAAAGAUUUAUCGCCAGAGGAUGAGCCCGCGUAGGAUUAGCUAGUUGGUGUGGUAAAGGCGCACUAAGGCGACGAUCCGUAGCUGGUCUGAGAGGAUGAUCAGCCACACUGGGGCUGAGACACGGCCCAGACUCCUACGGGGGGCAGCAGUGGGGAAUAUUGGACAAUGGGCGAAAGCCUGAUCCAGCGAUGCCGCGUGAGUGAUGAAGGCCUUGGGGUUGUAAAGCUCUUUUACCCGGGAUGAUAAUGACAGUGCCGGGAGAAUAAGCUCCGGCUAACUCCGUGCCAGCAGCCGCGGUAA